CUGAUGUUUGGGUGGCUACAAGAGAGGGAGAGGCAAUAUGGUUGGCGGCACAAAGGGGGAGGGGCUCAAAACCCUAGCGCCUCCCCUGCUUUUCCUGCCUUCUAUGGACCUGACGGCAAGAAACCCUAGGGUUUCUUGCUCCUGGGGCAUGGAGAAUAGCUGAAGAGAGAGAGAGAGACUUGGGAGAAAGAAUUUUCGUAUUCCUUGGCUUAAUCAAACCUAUACAGUGCAUGUAUAUAUAAACACAGGGUCAAGUGACCCAAACCCAAAACUCCCUUGACCAACUCUAUGGGAGAUUAGGUUAACCAAAGCCCAUGUACACCCAUGACUUGACCUAAUCUCACCUAUCCUAGGCCCAGACCUAGCCCAUAAAGAGUUGGUCCCUUGAGGCCCACAUAACCUAGACCUCAAGAACCCGAAAGGCCCACAGCCUUUCAACCUAGAGCCCAACUAGCCCUAGAGCCUCCAUGAAGCCCUCAUGAAUGAUGG
Molecule: long non-coding RNA, 489 nt
Filed under: Elaeis guineensis (African oil palm)
Lineage: Eukaryota; Viridiplantae; Streptophyta; Magnoliopsida; Arecales; Arecaceae
Description: long non-coding RNA (EGUI_LNC062994)
Source: RNAcentral